RNAcentral lists this ribosomal RNA (422 nucleotides) under uncultured bacterium. RNAcentral describes it as "bacterial SSU rRNA". It matches the Rfam family "Bacterial small subunit ribosomal RNA", at positions 355 to 774 of the family's 1533-position model. The record is from RNAcentral.
UGAGGAAUAUUGGACAAUGGGCGCAAGCCUGAUCCAGCCAUGCCGCGUGCAGGAAGAGGCAUCUAUGGUGUGUAAACUGCUUUUGUACGGGAAGAAACACUCCUUCGUGAAGGAGCUUGACGGUACCGUAAGAAUAAGGAUCGGCUAACUCCGUGCCAGCAGCCGCGGUAAUACGGAGGAUCCAAGCGUUAUCCGGAAUCAUUGGGUUUAAAGGGUCCGUAGGCGGUUUAGUAAGUCAGUGGUGAAAGCCCAUCGCUCAACGAUGGAACGGCCAUUGAUACUGCUAGACUUGAAUUAUUAGGAAGUAAAUAGAAUAUGUAGUGUAGCGGUGAAAUGCUUAGAUAUUACAUGGAAGACCAAGUGCGAAGGCAGGUUAAUACUAAGGGAUUGACGCUGAUGGACGAAAGCGUGGGGAGCGAGCA